Molecule: ribosomal RNA, 265 nt
Filed under: uncultured Clostridia bacterium
Lineage: Bacteria; Bacillati; Bacillota; Clostridia
Description: partial 16S ribosomal RNA
Rfam family: Bacterial small subunit ribosomal RNA
Source: RNAcentral
UUGCUGCGCUGUAAACCUAGCGGCGGACGGGUGAGUAACGCGUGGGCAACCUGCCUUACACAGGGGGAUAACACUGGGAAACUAGUGCUAAUACCGCAUAACAUCAUUUUAUGGCAUCAUGAGAUGAUCAAAGGAGCAAUCCGGUGUAAGAUGGGCCCGCGUCCGAUUAGCUAGUUGGUGAGGUAACGGCUCACCAAGGCAUCGAUGGGUAGCCGGCCUGAGAGGGUGGCCGGUCACACUGGGACUGAGACAAGGCCCAGACUCC